UACGGGGGGAGCAAGCGUUGUUCGGAUUUACUGGGCGUAAAGGGCGCGCAGGCGGCGUGACAAGUCACUUGUGAAAUCUCCGGGCUUAACUCGGAACGGUCAAGUGAUACUGUCGUGCUAGAGUACAGAAGGGGCAACUGGAAUUCUCGGUGUAGCGGUGAAAUGCGUAGAUAUCGAGAGGAACACCUGCGGCGAAGGCGGGUUGCUGGGCUGAUACUGACGCUGAGGCGCGAAAGCCAGGGGAGCGAACGGG
RNAcentral lists this ribosomal RNA (253 nucleotides) under uncultured bacterium. Its description in RNAcentral is "partial 16S ribosomal RNA". It matches the Rfam family "Bacterial small subunit ribosomal RNA", at positions 524 to 776 of the family's 1533-position model. The record is from RNAcentral.